Molecule: ribosomal RNA, 253 nt
Filed under: uncultured bacterium
Lineage: Bacteria
Description: partial 16S ribosomal RNA
Rfam family: Bacterial small subunit ribosomal RNA
Source: RNAcentral
UACAGAGGGUGCAAGCGUUGUUCGGAAUUACUGGGCGUAAAGCGCGUGUAGGCGGCGGCGUAAGUCGGGUGUGAAAUCCCUCAGCUCAACUGAGGAAAUGCACUCGAUACUGUGUCGCUUGAAUGUCGGAGGGGAUGGCGGAAUUCCCGGUGUAGAGGUGAAAUUCGUAGAUAUCGGGAGGAACACCUGUGGCGAAGGCGGCCAUCUGGACGACAAUUGACGCUGAGACGCGAAAGCGUGGGUAGCAAACAGG